AGUGAACGCUGGCGGUAGGCCUAACACAUGCAAGUCGAACGGCAGCACAGGAGAGCUUGCUCUCUGGGUGGCGAGUGGCGGACGGGUGAGGAAUACAUCGGAAUCUACUCUGUCGUGGGGGAUAACGUAGGGAAACUUACGCUAAUACCGCAUACGACCUACGGGUGAAAGCAGGGGACCUUCGGACCUUGCGCGAUUGAAUGAGCCGAUGUCGGAUUAGCUAGUUGGCGGGGUAAAGGCCCACCAAGGCGACGAUCCGUAGCUGGUCUGAGAGGAUGAUCAGACACACUGGAACUGAGACACGGUCCAGACUCCUACGGGAGGCAGCAGUGGGGAAUAUUGGACAAUGGGCGCAAGCCUGAUCCAGCCAUACCGCGUGGGUGAAGAAGGCCUUCGGGUUGUAAAGCCCUUUUGUUGGGAAAGAAAUCCAGCUGGUUAAUACCCGGUUGGGAUGACGGUACCCAAAGAAUAAGCACCGGCUAACUUCGUGCCAGCCGCCGCGGUAA
Molecule: ribosomal RNA, 506 nt
Filed under: uncultured bacterium
Lineage: Bacteria
Description: partial 16S ribosomal RNA
Rfam family: Bacterial small subunit ribosomal RNA
Source: RNAcentral